GAAACGCCCGGUUACAUUCCGAACCCGGAAGCUAAGCCUUACAGCGCCGAUGGUACUGCAGGGGGGACCCUGUGGGAGAGUAGGACGCCGCCGAAC
This 96-nucleotide ribosomal RNA is filed under the name Streptomyces albidoflavus. RNAcentral also lists the same sequence under 7 other names. The record is from RNAcentral. Lineage: Bacteria; Bacillati; Actinomycetota; Actinomycetes; Kitasatosporales; Streptomycetaceae.